GCCGCUGCGGCUUUUUCUCUGGCCUCCGCGGCGCGCUCCUCCUCGUCCCAGCGCUAGCGGGCACGCGGUUCCUUUUUGCGAGCUUCCCGAGUGCCAGGCGCCGGCCGGCUGCGAAGACGCGGUGGGCCGCCCCUCCGAUUGAAAUCACAGAAGAUAUUCGUGUUCUUCUUAAGAGAAAAAGAGGACAUUUGUAAGUAUUUGUCCUUUAGAAAUUCUAAAUGUGUAAUUUUAUUAGCUUUUUGAGAAAAUUAAGUGACCAUACUAACAGGCAUCUUGACCCUUUUUAUAGAGGAAAAACUCUACCAAUAUUUAUGAUUGUGUUUAAAAAGGCACUAUUUUAUAGAGCAAAAUAGGAAAACAUUUUACCCUGUGCAGCUUCUAAAAUUUAAACCAUUUGCCACUCAUUUGUAAAAGAACAAGUGGUAAUUAAAAUUCAAACAACGUCUUUCUAUUUGAGUCGUACCCAAAACUGGAGUCAGGGAUUGGAGUUCCAGUUCUGACUACUGAGGCUUAUAGAAUAUGUGUCUUUGGUAAACUACUUAGUCUCUCAUUAUCUCAGUUUCCUUAUCUUUAAAAUGGGUUUAACAGUAAGUACACAAUCAGGGGUUCAUUAUUAUUAUUAUUAUUGUUGUUAUUGAGACAGAGUCUCGCUCUGUCUUCCAGGCUUGAGUGUAGUGGCGCCA
RNAcentral lists this small RNA (683 nucleotides) under Pongo abelii (Sumatran orangutan). RNAcentral's name for it is "processed transcript". Lineage: Eukaryota; Metazoa; Chordata; Mammalia; Primates; Hominidae. The record is from RNAcentral.